This 462-nucleotide ribosomal RNA is filed under the name uncultured bacterium. RNAcentral's name for it is "partial 16S ribosomal RNA". It matches the Rfam family "Bacterial small subunit ribosomal RNA", at positions 28 to 507 of the family's 1533-position model. The record is from RNAcentral.
GAUAAACGCUGGCGGCGUGCUUAACACAUGCAAGUCGAACGAAGUUUUUCCUUCGGGAGAACCUUAGUGGCGGACGGGUGAGUAACGCGUGGGUAACCUGCCCUGUACAGGGGGACAACAGCUGGAAACGGCUGCUAAUACCGCAUAAGCCCUUAGCACUGCAUGGUGCAUAGGGAAAAGGAGCAAUCCGGUACAGGAUGGACCCGCGUCUGAUUAGCCAGUUGGCAGGGUAACGGCCUACCAAAGCGACGAUCAGUAGCCGAUCUGAGAGGAUGUACGGCCACAUUGGGACUGAGACACGGCCCAGACUCCUACGGGAGGCAGCAGUGGGGAAUAUUGCACAAUGGAGGAAACUCUGAUGCAGCGACGCCGCGUGAGUGAAGAAGUAUUUCGGUAUGUAAAGCUCUAUCAGCAGGGAAGAAAAUGACGGUACCUGACUAAGAAGCACCGGCUAAAUACGUG